RNAcentral lists this ribosomal RNA (440 nucleotides) under uncultured bacterium. RNAcentral describes it as "partial 16S ribosomal RNA". It matches the Rfam family "Bacterial small subunit ribosomal RNA", at positions 338 to 795 of the family's 1533-position model. The record is from RNAcentral.
CCUACGGGCGGCAGCAGUGGGGAAUAUUGCACAAUGGGGGAAACCCUGAUGCAGCGACGCCGCGUGAGUGAAGAAGUAUCUCGGUACGUAAAGCUCUAUCAGCAGGGAAGAAGAUGACGGUACCUGACCAAGAAGCCCCGGCUAACUACGUGCCAGCAGCCGCGGUCACACGUAGGGGGCAAGCGUUAUCCGGAUUUACUGGGUGUAAAGGGGGCGCAUACGGGAAUGCAAGCCAGGAGUGAAAGCCCGGGGCCCAACCCCAGGACUGCUCUUGGAACUGCAUGGCUGGAGUACAGGAGGGGGAGGCGGAAUUCGUGGUGUAGCGGUGAAAUGCGUAGAUAGUAGGAGGAACACCGGUGGCGAAGGCGGCCUGCUGGACUGUGACUGACGUUGAGGCACGAAGGCGUGGGGAGCGAACAGGAUUAGAUACCCCAGUAGUC